CACGUAGGGGGCGAGCGUUGUCCGGAAUCAUUGGGCGUAAAGAGCUCGUAGGCGGCUCAGUAAGUCGGGUGUGAAACCCCCAGGCUCAACCUGGGGACGCCACCCGAUACUGCUGUGGCUAGAGCCCAGUAGAGGAGUGUGGAAUUCCCGGUGUAGCGGUGAAAUGCGCAGAUAUCGGGAGGAACACCAACGGCGAAGGCAGCACUCUGGGCUGGAACUGACGCUGAGGAGCGAAAGCGUGGGUAGCAAACAGG
This 254-nucleotide ribosomal RNA is filed under the name uncultured bacterium. RNAcentral describes it as "partial 16S ribosomal RNA". It matches the Rfam family "Bacterial small subunit ribosomal RNA", at positions 524 to 776 of the family's 1533-position model. The record is from RNAcentral.